GAUCAUGGCUCAGACGAACGCUGGCGGUGUGCUUCACACAUGCAAGUCGAACGAGGUAGCAAUACCUAGUGGCGGACGGGUGAGUAACGCGUGGGAAUCUGCCUUUAGAUGGGGGAUAAUGGGUCGAAAGACUCGCUAAUACCGCAUAUGACGAAAGUUGAAAGGAGUAAUCCGUCUAAAGAUGAGCCCGCGUCCGAUUAGCUAGUUGGUAGAGUAAAAAGCCUACCAAGGCGACGAUCGGUAGCUGGUCUGAGAGGAUGAUCAGCCACAAUGGGACUGAGACACGGCCCAUACUCCUACGGGAGGCAGCAGUGGGGAAUUUUACGCAAUGGGCGAAAGCCUGACGUAGCGACACCGCGUGAGCGAAGAAGCCCCUUGGGGUGUAAAGCUCUGUCAGCUGGAACGAAAAAAUGACGGUACCAGCAGAGGAAGCAUCGGCUAACUACGUG
RNAcentral lists this ribosomal RNA (449 nucleotides) under uncultured bacterium. RNAcentral's name for it is "bacterial SSU rRNA". It matches the Rfam family "Bacterial small subunit ribosomal RNA", at positions 15 to 507 of the family's 1533-position model. The record is from RNAcentral.